This is a long non-coding RNA of Periophthalmus magnuspinnatus, 186 nucleotides long. RefSeq lists it as uncharacterized. The transcript has 3 exons. NCBI's taxonomy places the organism in Eukaryota, Metazoa, Chordata, Actinopteri, Gobiiformes, Gobiidae. The record is from RefSeq and is a predicted model, not a curated record.
GACAGGUGUGUGUCAGGUGUGUGUCAGGUGUGUGACAGGUGUGUGUCAGGUGUGUGUCAGGUGUGUGUCAGGUGUGUGACAGGUGUGUGACAGGUGUGUGUGUGACGGGUGUGUGACAGGUGUGUGUCAGGUGUGUGUCAGGUGUGUGUGACAGGUGUGUGUGUCAGGUGUGUGUCGGGUGUGUGU